GAACUUAGCAGAGAUGCUUUGGUGCCUUUCGGGAACUCUGAGACAGGUGCUGCAUGGCUGUCGUCAGCUCGUGUUGUGAAAUGUUGGGUUAAGUCCCGCAACGAGCGCAACCCUUAUCCUUUGUUGCCAGCGGUCCGGCCGGGAACUCAAAGGAGACUGCCAGUGAUAAACUGGAGGAAGGUGGGGAUGACGUCAAGUCAUCAUGGCCCUUACGAGUAGGGCUACACACGUGCUACAAUGGCGCAUACAAAGAGAAGCGACCUCGCGAGAGCAAGCGGACCUCAUAAAGUGCGUCGUAGUCCGGAUUGGAGUCUGCAACUCGACUCCAUGAAGUCGGAAUCGCUAGUAAUCGUAGAUCAGAAUGCUACGGUGAAUACGUUCCCGGGCCUUGUACACACCGCCCGUCACACCAUGGGAGUGGGUUGCAAAAGAAGUAGGUAGCUUAACCUUCGGGAGGGCGCUUACCACUUUGUGAUUCAUGACUGGGGUGAAGUCGUAACAAGGUAAGCGUAGCGAG
RNAcentral lists this ribosomal RNA (517 nucleotides) under uncultured bacterium. RNAcentral's name for it is "bacterial SSU rRNA". It matches the Rfam family "Bacterial small subunit ribosomal RNA", at positions 993 to 1509 of the family's 1533-position model. The record is from RNAcentral.